UAUAAGAGACAGCAGUAGCCGCGGUAAGACGAACCGUCCGAACGUUAUUCGGAAUUACUGGGCUUAAAGCGCGUGUAGGCGGAUCGACACGUCCGACGCUGAAAUCCCCCGGCUCAACCGGGGAACGGGCCCGGAUACGAUCGGUCUGGAGGAAGGUAGGGGGGCCUGGAACUUCCGGUGGAGCGGUGAAAUGCGUUGAGAUCGGAAGGAACGCCCGUGGCGAAAGCGAGGCCCUGGACCUUUUCUGACGCUGAGACGCGAAAGCCAGGGGAGCGAACGGGAUUAGAUACCCGAGUAGUCCCUGUCUCUUAUA
This 313-nucleotide ribosomal RNA is filed under the name uncultured bacterium. RNAcentral's name for it is "partial 16S ribosomal RNA". It matches the Rfam family "Bacterial small subunit ribosomal RNA", at positions 500 to 807 of the family's 1533-position model. The record is from RNAcentral.